Molecule: ribosomal RNA, 1357 nt
Filed under: metagenome
Description: bacterial SSU rRNA
Rfam family: Bacterial small subunit ribosomal RNA
Source: RNAcentral
GGGUGAGUAAUACAUGGGAAUCUGCCUCGCAGUACGGAAUAACUGUUGGAAACGACAGCUAAUACCGUAUAUUGCCGAGAGGUGAAAGAUUUAUUUGCUGCGAGAUGAGCCCAUGCGGGAUUAGCUAGUUGGUGGGGUAAUGGCCUACCAAGGCGAUGAUCUCUAGUUGGUCUGAGAGGAUGAUCAACCACACUGGAACUGAGACACGGUCCAGACUCCUACGGGAGGCAGCAGUGGGGAAUAUUGGACAAUGUCGAAAGCCUGAUCCAGCGACGCCGCGUGAGUGAUGAAGGCCUUCGGGUUGUAAAGCUCUUUUAGUAGGGAAGAUAAUGACGGUACCUACGGAAAAAGUCCCGGCUAACUUCGUGCCAGCAGCCGCGGUAAUACGAAAGGGGCUAGCGUUACUCGGAAUUACUGGGCGUAAAGAGUGCGUAGGCGGUUAUGUAAGUUAUAAGUGAAAUCCUUGGGCUCAACCUGAGAACUGCUUGUAAUACUGCAUAACUUGAGUAUCGGAGAGGAUGGUAGAAUUCAUGGUGUAGAGGUGAAAUUCAUAGAUAUCAUGAGGAAUACCGAAUGCGAAAGCGACCAUCUGGUCGAUUACUGACGCUGUUGCACGAAAGCGUGGGGAGCAAACAGGAUUAGAUACCCUGGUAGUCCACGCAGUAAACGAUGAGCGCUAGGUGUCGGGGGAGAUUUCCUUCGGUGUCGCAGCUAACGCGUUAAGCGCUCCGCCUGAAGAGUACGAUCGCAAGAUUAAAACUCAACGGAAUUGACGGGGACCCGCACAAGCGGUGGAACAUGUGGUUUAAUUCGAUGCUACGCGAAAACCUUACCAGGUCUUGCAUGACGAUUAUACUCCUAGCAAACUAGGAGGUCGGUUCGGCCGGAUCGUCACAGGUGUUGCAUGGCUGUCGUCAGCUCGUGCCGUGAGGUGUUUGGUUAAGUCCUGUAACGAGCGCAACCCCUAUCCUUAGUUACCAACAGGUUAUGCUGGGCACUCUAGGGAAACUGCCGGCGAUAAGCCGGAGGAAGGUGGGGACGAUGUCAAGUCAUCAUGGCCCUUAUGACCUGGGCUACACACGUGUUACAAUGGUAGUUACAAUGAGACGCAAUAGGGUGACCUGGAGCAAAUCUAUAAAAACUAUCUCAGUUCGGAUUGUGCUUUGCAACUCAAGCACAUGAAGUCGGAAUCGCUAGUAAUCGCAGAUCAGCAUGCUGCGGUGAAUACGUUCCCGGGUCUUGUACACACUGCCCGUCACGCCAUGGGAAUCGAUUUUACCUGAAUUACGUGCGCUAACCGAAAGGAGGCAGCGUAUUACGGUGAGGUUGGUGACUGGGGUGAAGUCGAAACAAGGUA